Passer domesticus (house sparrow) is the source of this 482-nucleotide long non-coding RNA. RefSeq lists it as uncharacterized. The record is from RefSeq and is a predicted model, not a curated record. The transcript has 3 exons. NCBI's taxonomy places the organism in Eukaryota, Metazoa, Chordata, Aves, Passeriformes, Passeridae.
UGGCAUGGGGUCCUGCACAGGCUGCAGGUGGAUCUCUGCUCCCCCUGGGGCUGCAGGGACACAGCUGCCUCACCAUGGGCUUCACGGGAUUCUCUGCCCCAGCAUGGAGCCCUUCCUGCCCCUCCUUUUCCACUGACCUUGGUGUCUGCAGAGUUCUUUCUGUUGCUUAUUCUCACUUCUGUGGCUGCUGUAGUUCAGCCAUUUUUUUCCUUAAAUACAUUAUCACAUCACGGUCGCUGGUGGUAUCAGCCAGCCUUCUGUUGCUUACACUACAAGGAGAGAACACUGAAUGAAAGGAAGAGUUGUAUCAGUUGGUAUGAGAAGUCAGUGUCGAUGCACCUAGAGUAUGUAUUGGAGUUCCAGCAUCCCAAGCAGCUGAAGAACUAAAUUGGGAGUAAGAAGAAUGCUCUAAAAUGAAUCACAGGGCACGUUUUCUGUGUAGUAUCAAAUGGUCUUGGAUAACCCCAGCUACCUUGCCCCCA